CGCUCCGCUCAGACUCCUCAAGCUUCCUGCUGCCUCCAAUGCAAUGGUGGAGGAUGAGCUCCACUAAGGAACACAUCCGGCUCACAGAUCUGGCUGGCAUUGCUCUGUCUUGUAACAGCAGGUUUCUCUUUACUGCCUGAUUUUCUGCUACCCCUGUGGAGGGUCAUUUCUGUGUGUGUGUAUGUUAGCUGUCAGCCAGGGAUUUGGGAAGUUUGUGCUCUGAUUCUGGGUUUCACUCCUGUGACUUGUGUGCCAGGAUUUCCUCUUCCUAUUUCCAGCUGCUUUCCCGGCUCUAAGCUCCAAGUGCUAUCACCUUCAGUUGACCAGCUGCGUCUUUGUCCCUCCCCACAUCACUUUCUGCAGCCAGGGCAGCACUCCUGGACAGGAAGCCAUGAACUUGCAAUUCCACCAUUUCUUCCAGUUGCUUUUGGAGAAUUCAGUUUCAAAGUGCGAGUUGAGGAUAACAUUCUGGCUUUCAGAAAUCAUAAAUAAUGAACGGCACAUUUGAGUCAUUAUCGGUGGUUAUCCCUCUUAGAGUCCUCUUUGGUGUGCUCCGACCUAAGGCACCCGUGGAGAAGGAGAAGGAGAUCUCAAGAGGAAAAAUCAAUGCAGGAACAAAGAAACUCUUGGGUCUAGUGAAGAGAGACUGGAUCUUGCUAGGCGAGUCAGGGAUGGGGAGCUGGAACUGGGAAAUGUUAAUUUGCAAGGGUCCCCUGUGUAGCAAGAGGAAACUGCACAUCCCUCUAGCCUGAACUCUGUCUUCAGAUCCCAGCUUCCUACACUCUCACCUGGAGAACUCCCCAAGUUCUUUCUUCUCCUUCAACAUUCCCAACAUCUGGGCUUCCUCUGGGUCCUGGUUUCAGAUGAUUUUCACAUGUCCAUUUCUUGCUUCUACCCUGGGUGAGUUAAAUUUGGAUGACAAUACCCAGAUCUUACAGUUUGAAGGAGAAUUAAAUGGAAUAAUAUGUGCAGAAGUGUUUCGUCAACAGCAAAGUGCAUUUAAAGGCAGAAUGUGCAUGUGAGACAGCCAAGUGUAAAGGGGUCCCCAGAGAAACUCCAACCGACCUGCACACUGGAAGGAGUGUGCACUGGGGUGGAGCCUCGGGAAGUUCCUGCCCUUUGCCGUAGGGAAGGAGCCUGGCCUCUCCUGUUCAGAGAUGGAAGCAGGAACUCAAUCUGUGAGGUGGGAAGCCUGUACUUGCAGGACUCUCACUCUGCUGAGUCCCUGUUUCCAGUUUUUCCCAUUUUUGCCCAAUAAAUUCUUUUUUUCUCACCCUUCACAGUGUUUGUGAGCCCAAUAUUUCACGGCCAUGUGACAAGGACCCAGCUCUUAGAUGAACUAAGGAGAAGGUACUACAACAUUUUUGGUGCUCAUAAUGUGAGGCUUGAGAAGGGCCAUGGAACUCCAACGGUCAUGCAACCAAAGCCUCUGAUAAUGGCGCCUUCUUCUGGGAACCCUUCGAUCAGCCUCGGAGGGAACGCUGACUGCCAUUUCCCCCAAAACAGCGCCCCCUACCAGCAGAAGGCAGUUAAGACUGGUCUUCAUCCUUGCGCUAAUCCUUAAUCUACGGGCAGUCAGAUGUCCUUCUUUAGAGGGGGAAUGAGACAGCCAGGCGGGAAAGGAUCCCUGGACAAACUCCCAGCUGGCCUGCUUACUGGGAAGAGCGUGCAUUGGGGUGGAGCCUUGGGAAGUUUGCGCUUUGCGGCUGGGGAGGAACCCAGCCUCUCCUGUUUGGUUGUGGAACCUGGGAUUCAAUCUGUGAGGCAGGACGCCCAGACUAGCAGGACUCGUGCUCUGCUAGAGUCCUUGUUUCCCCUUUUUUUCCUUUUCACCCAAUAAAUUCCAUUUUUCUCACCCUUCAAAGUAUCUGUGAGCCUAGUAUUUCAUGGCUGUGUGAUAAGGACCCAGCUCUUAGCUGAAAUAAGGAGAAAGUCCUACAGCAUAUACAUGAACUCCCCUCAACACCAAGUCUCAAUGUCCUAUUUAUUAUUAUGAGACCUGAUGUUUACUGACUGCUUACAACAUGUCAUGUAUUCCUCUCUACAUUUCAGGAGUAUAAAUAUUUGUUGAAGGAAUAAAU
This 2081-nucleotide long non-coding RNA is filed under the name Homo sapiens (human). RNAcentral's name for it is "HSALNT0324900". Lineage: Eukaryota; Metazoa; Chordata; Mammalia; Primates; Hominidae. The record is from RNAcentral.